GAUGAACGCUAGCGGCAGGCUUAAUACAUGCAAGUCGAGGGGCAGCGGGGUAGCAAUACCGCCGGCGACCGGCAAACGGGUGCGGAACACGUACAGAACCUCCCUCCAAGUGGUGAAUAGCCUUCCGAAAGGAAGAUUAAUACACCGUAAUAUUAAAGAGUGGCAUCACUUUCUAAUUAUAGAUUUAUCGCUUAGAGAUGGCUGUGCGGCUGAUUAGGUAGUUGGCGGGAAUAGCCACCAAGCCUGCGAUCAGUAACUGUGUGAGAGCGCGACCAGUCACACGGGCACUGAGACACGGGCCCGACUCUACGGGAGGCAGCAGUGGGGAAUAUUGCGCAAAUGGGCGAAAGCCUGACGCAGCGACGCCGCGUGAGGGAUGAAGGCCUCGGUCGUAACU
RNAcentral lists this ribosomal RNA (397 nucleotides) under uncultured bacterium. RNAcentral describes it as "bacterial SSU rRNA". It matches the Rfam family "Bacterial small subunit ribosomal RNA", at positions 28 to 430 of the family's 1533-position model. The record is from RNAcentral.